UAGGUUUCACAGGAAACUGGUU
This 22-nucleotide microRNA is filed under the name Drosophila melanogaster (fruit fly). RNAcentral's name for it is "Dme-Mir-303_5p (mature (guide))". Lineage: Eukaryota; Metazoa; Arthropoda; Insecta; Diptera; Drosophilidae. The record is from RNAcentral.